This 857-nucleotide ribosomal RNA is filed under the name Monacha terebrata. Its description in RNAcentral is "partial 16S ribosomal RNA". The record is from RNAcentral. Lineage: Eukaryota; Metazoa; Mollusca; Gastropoda; Stylommatophora; Hygromiidae.
GAAAUCUAUAUUAAAAUAUAAAUACUUUUUCACGAAAUUAGAUGAGCUAGAUGUAUUUAAAUUUUAGUCUAACAAAAAUUAACGUAGUAUAGUUAACUGGUAAAAUACAUUUAGGGGUGAUAGGCUUAUCAAAUCUACUGAUAUCUUGAUAAUUAGGAAAUAUAUAUAGUAUAUUUGACAAUAUAGGAAUGGUGAGGUUCUUAUAUAACAUAAAUAUAGAAUACUUAAUUUUGGUCGUUUUAAAAUACUCCAAGUAGAAUUUAAAAAUAUUUUUUACUAUGUUAUGUAUGUAAAGUACUAACUUUUUAUUAGGUAAAUGUUUCUAACAUAAAAAAUGAUUUCAUUAGUAUUGAAGUAAAUAUGUGUUAGGAAUUCGGCAAAACCAUAUUCUCGACUGUUUAUCAAAAACAUAGUUUUAAGAAUUUUAUUUAAAAUAAAACCUGCUCAAUGAUACAUUAAAUAGCCGCAGUACCUUGACUGUGCAAAGGUAGCAUAAUCAGUUGGCUUAUAAUUGAAGUCUAGUAUGAAAGGGAAUCCGGGGAUAUGCUGUCUUACAAAUUAAAAUAGAAAUUACUUAUUAAGUGAAAAUUCUUAAAAAAAAGAAAAAAGACGAGAAGACCCUAGAAAUUUUUUAAAAAUGUCCUAAUUUAAUUUUGUUGGGGCGACAAGGUAACAUUAUUUAACUUACCUGUUUAAUAGGGAACUAUUUAGUAGUAUAUAUAAAUUACUCUAGGGAUAACAGCAUAAUAUUUUAAAGAUUGUGACCUCGAUGUUGGACUAGGAAAAUUAUACCUUAAAAGGGUAUUUGAAACGCUCUGUUCGAGCAAUUAAUCCUACAUGAUCUGAGUUCAGACCGG